RNAcentral lists this ribosomal RNA (497 nucleotides) under uncultured bacterium. Its description in RNAcentral is "partial 16S ribosomal RNA". It matches the Rfam family "Bacterial small subunit ribosomal RNA", at positions 28 to 507 of the family's 1533-position model. The record is from RNAcentral.
GAUGAACGCUGGCGGCGUGCCUAAUACAUGCAAGUCGAGCGAACAGACGAGGAGCUUGCUCCUCUGACGUUAGCGGCGGGCGGGUGAGUAACACGUGGAUAACCUACCUAUAAGACUGGGAUAAAUUCGGGAAACCGGAGCUAAUACCGGAUAAUAUAUUGAACCGCAUGGUUCAAUAGUGAAAGACGGUUUUGCUGUCACUUAUAGAUGGAUCCGCGCCGCAUUAGCUAGUUGGUAAGGUAACGGCUUACCAAGGCAACGAUGCGUAGCCGACCUGAGAGGGUGAUCGGCCACACUGGAACUGAGACACGGUCCAGACUCCUACGGGAGGCAGCAGUAGGGAAUCUUCCGCAAUGGGCGAAAGCCUGACGGAGCAACGCCGCGUGAGUGAUGAAGGUCUUCGGAUCGUAAAACUCUGUUAUUAGGGAAGAACAAAUGUGUAAGUAACUAUGCACGUCUUGACGGUACCUAAUCAGAAAGCCACGGCUAACUACGUG